RNAcentral lists this ribosomal RNA (381 nucleotides) under uncultured eukaryote. RNAcentral's name for it is "partial 18S ribosomal RNA". It matches the Rfam family "Eukaryotic small subunit ribosomal RNA", at positions 592 to 976 of the family's 1831-position model. The record is from RNAcentral.
CAAUAGCGUAUAUUAAAGUUGUUGCGGUAAAAAAGCUCGUAGUUGGAUUUCUACCGAAGAUAGCCGGUCGGGUCUUUGACCUUGUAUCUGGUUUUGUCUUUGGUAUCCUCAUAGGGAACGUUUCUGCGCUUUAUUGCGUGGUGCGGUAUCUAUGACUUUUACUUUGAGGAAAUUAGAGUGUUCACGGCAGGCAAACGCCUUGAAUAUAUUAGCAUGGAAUAAUAACAUAGGAUCUUCGUCCUAUUUUGUUGGUUUCUAGGGCUAAGAUAAUGAUUAAUAGGGAUAAUUGGGGGCAUCUGUAUCAACGCGUCAGAGGUGGAAUUCUUGGAUUGCGUUGCGACAAACUACUGCGAAAGCAUUUGCCAAGGAUGUUUUCAUUGA